UUACGGUUAUAUCACGUUGAAAAACUAGUUCUUGUACGAUUACAGAAGUUAAGUAACAUCGAUCCUGGUUAGUACCUAGGUGGGUGACCGCUUGGGGAUACCAGGUGCCGUAAG
Molecule: non-coding RNA, 114 nt
Organism: Acanthosepion pharaonis
Lineage: Eukaryota; Metazoa; Mollusca; Cephalopoda; Sepiida; Sepiidae
Source: the annotation of a GenBank genome assembly